UUAGUGGCGCACGGGUGCGUAACGCGUGGGAAUCUGCCCUUGGGUUCGGAAUAACAGUUGGAAACGACUGCUAAUACCGGACGAUGUCGUAAGUCCAAAGAUUUAUCGCCCAAGGAUGAGCCCGCGUAGGAUUAGCUAGUUGGUGAGGUAAAGGCUUACCAAGGCGACGAUCCUUAGCUGGUCUGAGAGGAUGAUCAGCCACACUGGGACUGAGACACGGCCCAGACUCCUACGGGAGGCAGCAGUAGGGAAUAUUGGACAAUGGGCGAAAGCCUGAUCCAGCAAUGCCGCGUGAGUGAUGAAGGCCUUAGGGUUGUAAAGCUCUUUUACCCGAGAAGACAAUGACAGUACCGGGAGAAUAAGCCCCGGCUAACUCCGUGCCAGCAGCCGCGGUAAU
RNAcentral lists this ribosomal RNA (397 nucleotides) under uncultured Sphingomonas sp. Its description in RNAcentral is "bacterial SSU rRNA". It matches the Rfam family "Bacterial small subunit ribosomal RNA", at positions 92 to 524 of the family's 1533-position model. The record is from RNAcentral. Lineage: Bacteria; Pseudomonadati; Pseudomonadota; Alphaproteobacteria; Sphingomonadales; Sphingomonadaceae.